UGUAAAGGGAUAAAUAUUAUAGUUGAGGGUUCUUUAAGUAAAUCCUUCUGUAAUGUGAUCGCGCUUCCUACUGGCUGCGCUGGUGGCGCUAUAGCGCACUGAGUUCGAAUGAUCUGCAGCAGAGCUAGAGAGAACUGCUGUGGGUGAGUCGUUUCUGUUGCAGCUCCCUGUUAAAAGUUAAAAAUAAGGGUUUCAUAUCAAAUGUAAGACGGUGUAUGUAAGGGAUUGCACACCUUGGACACUAAUUGAUUUUUAGAGUGUUUUCUGUUCAUUAAUUCUGGGUAUUUUGAUAGCUUUAUUUCUGGUUGCAUAGAUUCAGUAAUCUUUCAAUGUGCGCCAUUUUCCCAUGUGCUUUCUAAUCCAGUGAAAUCUUUUCUCGAACAGAUGGAGCUGUAUUAUAUUGUAACAUGACUCACUAUUCUCUCCUUUUCACUGCUCUGUGUGCAGGAAAAUAAAUUCAAAAAUCAUCCACAAUCUGAGUAUGUGUGUGUGCUGUUGAAGAAUGGGGCAAACCGGGCCAGAAAAACCAAAGGUCACAUUGGUGCCGUGACUCAGGACUUCAAUCAAGGUGGUCGAAGAUCAUCCCAACAUCGGACCGGCGGACCUGUCGUCAUUCUUCACUGCACAGGACCUUCAGCUAAGCUUUUAUUAGUUAUUGCUGGACUUUAUACUAAAAAGAAGAGGGAAGAGACUUUUGAAUGGACACUGUGAAGUGGUUUGAUAUUUUAUUGACUCCAGGUAUCACAGCAGUAUAAUAUAGUAUACACAUUGUUUUUCUUUUUCCAUUUAUAUACUAUUAUUACUUGAUUAUGGAAAACACAAGGUUAACUGGAUCUCGGUAUGUGGGCAGUCCGGUUAGUGUUGGUCGGGGGAGAGGUCUAUUAGUGACACCAAUUCCUUUCCCAGAUAUCAGCUCUAGCUCUAAUAUGAGUGCUGCUAACAAUGGUAUGGGGUUAGAAGCAAAUACAUUUCUUGAGCCAAAUGCUAAUGAAAACCCUGUUAAUGUGAACUGCAGUUCUGAAACUACCCAGCCAAUUAGUACAUCAACUCCAGUCCUUACCAUAGGCCUUCAACUGGCAGAUAGUAUCCUUGCACAUUUGAAUUUGCACAGUCAAUCAGAAGUUGCACCUAAGCAUACUCUAAAAAACCACAAUAGUAGAUACACACCUGAGCAGUGCUCCAUGUCAAG
This is a long non-coding RNA of Cyprinus carpio carpio, 1189 nucleotides long. NCBI's taxonomy places the organism in Eukaryota, Metazoa, Chordata, Actinopteri, Cypriniformes, Cyprinidae. The record is from Ensembl.